Long non-coding RNA from Mus musculus (house mouse), 1138 nucleotides. RefSeq annotates it as predicted gene, 46111. Lineage: Eukaryota; Metazoa; Chordata; Mammalia; Rodentia; Muridae. The transcript has 4 exons. The record is from RefSeq and is marked validated.
AGUAAGCACUCAGCAUUUCAGCUUCUUGCCAUCUCUCCUAAUCAAGAGGAAUUUUCCUCUUGGAAUAAGGCAGAGAUAAUCAGGCUUCGGGGGUCUUGUGAGAAUGAUGCCUUAGGACACAGCUGCCUCAUUCCCCAUGCCAGCACAUUCUGGAAAGGGAUGGAAGAUUCUUUGUGGGCCUUGAGGUGGACUGUGACCUUGGAGUCAUGCUGAGUCACCGGCUGUAACCACUGAGACACAGUGGUGAAGAUGAUCUGCAGACUAUAUAGUACAAGAGGCUCCAGGAGUCUAACAGAGCUUAAUGUAGAUCAAGCUCAGAACAAGGAGUCAGCUUUCUGUUGUUGGGGCAGUGCCCGCCUAGGACCCUGAGAACCUGGAGCUGUGAAUGAACCUGGGAUUGAGAAGAUGGACACCUGCUCAGGCCAUUGUCGUCAGGCUUUGCCUGUCUCACACUGCCCAUGCCAGAGACCAGACAAGGAACAGACAGCUAGGAGCAAACCUAACACCUCAGGGGCCACCUUUACCAUGAAGCUCUCCCUGCCCUGGUGGCUAAGAUUAGUCCUCAAGAGGAACCACGAUCCAGGGAGCUGAGGCAAGCAAGGGCCAGGCCAAGCCAACAAUCAAGGUGUGCUCCGCUACUGAGCUAGCUUCCGUGCCUGAGAGGAAGGUCAAGGAAGGCUGCUGCUUCUUUGGUGCCAAGGAGACAGGAUCUGCAUGUGAAAGGGGCACUCUGUGAGCUGCUCUGAGCCAUGGAUCCAACCCCAGAGCUGCUCCUGAGCUCGGCGGGCAGCAUCCUGAAGCAGAGAGAGAGAACUUAGGAUGAAAUUCCUGGGCAGAAGCCACCAAGCCUCCUCGGUCCUCCUGCCCCUCUGCACACUCUUGCAAACAGCAUGGCUUCUCUGCCAGGAACACAAAGAGAGCCAUCACUGGGAGGCAGGGACCAUCUGAAUACAGCACUCAAACUCACGGCAGUUACUCCUGGACCACUGCCCAGAGCAAUCUGUGAAGCCUCAAUACCCUAGAAAUGCUUGGAUGCUAGCACCCAUCCACUUCUCUUUAAAUAACCUGAGUGACACUUCCUGAGUGCUAAGGGCCGGACACCAAUUCAGCUGCUAAGAUAAACCCUGACUGAAGUUCA